AUGCUCUGGUUUCUCUUCAGAUCGUAUAAAUCUUUCGCCUUUUACUAAAGAUUUCCGUGGAGAGGAACAGUUGUGAGUGUUUAACUAAUUUUUUGAAGUCUCGUUUUUUACGAGACU
RNAcentral lists this small nuclear RNA (117 nucleotides) under Catagonus wagneri (Chacoan peccary). RNAcentral's name for it is "U5 spliceosomal RNA (ENSCWAG00000014100.1)". It matches the Rfam family "U5 spliceosomal RNA". From Rfam's summary of the family: U5 RNA is a component of both types of known spliceosome. The precise function of this molecule is unknown, though it is known that the 5' loop is required for splice site selection and p220 binding, and that both the 3' stem-loop and the Sm site are important for Sm protein binding and cap methylation. The record is from Rfam by way of RNAcentral. Lineage: Eukaryota; Metazoa; Chordata; Mammalia; Artiodactyla; Tayassuidae.